UACGGAGGGGGCUAGCGUUGUUCGGAAUUACUGGGCGUAAAGCGCUCGUAGGCGGCUAUUCAAGUCGGGGGUGAAAGCCCGAGGCUCAACCCCGGAACUGCCCUCGAAACUAGAUAGCUAGAAUCUUGGAGAGGCGAGUGGAAUUCCGAGUGUAGAGGUGAAAUUCGUAGAUAUUGGGAAGAACACCAGUGGCGAAGGCGGCUCACUGGCCCGUAACUGACGCUGAGGUGCGAAAGCGUGGGGAGCAAACAGG
This 253-nucleotide ribosomal RNA is filed under the name uncultured bacterium. RNAcentral's name for it is "partial 16S ribosomal RNA". It matches the Rfam family "Bacterial small subunit ribosomal RNA", at positions 524 to 776 of the family's 1533-position model. The record is from RNAcentral.